GGAGUCAAUUCUUAUUUAAUAUACACAUGCAAGUCUCCGCACCCCUGUGAAAACGCCCUAAUAACCCCAGUAGGGAAUAGGAGCUGGUAUCAGGCACAACCUCCUUGCCCAAAACACCUAGCCUCGCCACACCCACAAGGGCCCUCAGCAGUGAUAAACAUUGAGCAUAAGCGACAGCUUGACUCAGUUAAAUUACCCAGAGCCGGCCAAUCUGGUGCCAGCCGCCGCGGUUAUACCAGAAGCUCAAAUUGAUUUCUAUCGGCGUAAAGCGUGAUUAAAGAUCUAAAUUUUUGGAGUCCAACUAAAAUUAAGCUGUGACACGCCUGCUACCUAAGAAGACCUGAAACGAAAGUUAUUCCAA
RNAcentral lists this ribosomal RNA (361 nucleotides) under Anomaloglossus baeobatrachus. RNAcentral's name for it is "partial 12S ribosomal RNA". The record is from RNAcentral. Lineage: Eukaryota; Metazoa; Chordata; Amphibia; Anura; Aromobatidae.